Molecule: ribosomal RNA, 440 nt
Filed under: uncultured bacterium
Lineage: Bacteria
Description: partial 16S ribosomal RNA
Rfam family: Bacterial small subunit ribosomal RNA
Source: RNAcentral
CCUACGGGAGGCAGCAGUGGGGAAUAUUGCUCAAUGGGGGAAACCCUGAAGCAGCAACGCCGCGUGAGGGAUGAAGGUUUUCGGGUUGUAAACUCCUUUUUGUAGGGAAGAUAAUGACGGUAUCUGACGAAUCCGCCCCGGCUAACUCCGUGCCAGCAGCCGCGGUCAUACGGAGGGUGCAAGCGUUACUCGGAAUGACUGGGCGUAAAGAGCGCGUAGGCGGGAUAGCAAGUCAGGUGUGAAAUCCUAUGGCUUAACCAUAGAACUGCAUUUGAAACUGUUAUUCUAGAGUAUGGGAGAGGUAGGUGGAAUUCUUGGUGUAGGGGUAAAAUGCGUAGAGAUCAAGAGGAAGACUCAUUGCGAAGGCGACCUGCUAGAACAUAACUGACGCUGAGGCGCGAAAGCGUGGGGAGCAAACAGGAUUAGAUACCCGGGUAGUC